Molecule: ribosomal RNA, 1827 nt
Filed under: Salmonella enterica
Lineage: Bacteria; Pseudomonadati; Pseudomonadota; Gammaproteobacteria; Enterobacterales; Enterobacteriaceae
Description: partial 23S ribosomal RNA
Rfam family: Bacterial large subunit ribosomal RNA
Source: RNAcentral
GGGUGCUAACGUCCGUCGUGAAGAGGGAAACAACCCAGACCGCCAGCUAAGGUCCCAAAGUCAUGGUUAAGUGGGAAACGAUGUGGGAAGGCCCAGACAGCCAGGAUGUUGGCUUAGAAGCAGCCAUCAUUUAAAGAAAGCGUAAUAGCUCACUGGUCGAGUCGGCCUGCGCGGAAGAUGUAACGGGGCUAAACCAUGCACCGAAGCUGCGGCAGCGACGCUGAUGCGUUGUUGGGUAGGGGAGCGUUCUGUAAGCCUGCGAAGGUGGCCUGUGAGGGUUGCUGGAGGUAUCAGAAGUGCGAAUGCUGACAUAAGUAACGAUAAAGCGGGUGAAAAGCCCGCUCGCCGGAAGACCAAGGGUUCCUGUCCAACGUUAAUCGGGGCAGGGUGAGUCGACCCCUAAGGCGAGGCCGAAAGGCGUAGUCGAUGGGAAACGGGUUAAUAUUCCCGUACUUGGUGUUACUGCGAAGGGGGGACGGAGAAGGCUAUGUUGGCCGGGCGACGGUUGUCCCGGUUUAAGCGUGUAGGUGUGUGUUCCAGGUAAAUCCGGUUCACUUUAACACUGAGGCGUGACGACGAGGCACUACGGUGCUGAAGCAACAAAUGCCCUGCUUCCAGGAAAAGCCUCUAAGCAUCAGGUAACAUCAAAUCGUACCCCAAACCGACACAGGUGGUCAGGUAGAGAAUACCAAGGCGCUUGAGAGAACUCGGGUGAAGGAACUAGGCAAAAUGGUGCCGUAACUUCGGGAGAAGGCACGCUGACACGUAGGUGAAGUGAUUUACUCAUGGAGCUGAAGUCAGUCGAAGAUACCAGCUGGCUGCAACUGUUUAUUAAAAACACAGCACUGUGCAAACACGAAAGUGGACGUAUACGGUGUGACGCCUGCCCGGUGCCGGAAGGUUAAUUGAUGGGGUCAGCGCAAGCGAAGCUCCUGAUCGAAGCCCCGGUAAACGGCGGCCGUAACUAUAACGGUCCUAAGGUAGCGAAAUUCCUUGUCGGGUAAGUUCCGACCUGCACGAAUGGCGUAAUGAUGGCCAGGCUGUCUCCACCCGAGACUCAGUGAAAUUGAACUCGCUGUGAAGAUGCAGUGUACCCGCGGCAAGACGGAAAGACCCCGUGAACCUUUACUAUAGCUUGACACUGAACAUUGAGCCUUGAUGUGUAGGAUAGGUGGGAGGCUUUGAAGUGUGGACGCCAGUCUGCAUGGAGCCGACCUUGAAAUACCACCCUUUAAUGUUUGAUGUUCUAACGUGGACCCGUGAUCCGGGUUGCGGACAGUGUCUGGUGGGUAGUUUGACUGGGGCGGUCUCCUCCUAAAGAGUAACGGAGGAGCACGAAGGUUGGCUAAUCCUGGUCGGACAUCAGGAGGUUAGUGCAAUGGCAUAAGCCAGCUUGACUGCGAGCGUGACGGCGCGAGCAGGUGCGAAAGCAGGUCAUAGUGAUCCGGUGGUUCUGAAUGGAAGGGCCAUCGCUCAACGGAUAAAAGGUACUCCGGGGAUAACAGGCUGAUACCGCCCAAGAGUUCAUAUCGACGGCGGUGUUUGGCACCUCGAUGUCGGCUCAUCACAUCCUGGGGCUGAAGUAGGUCCCAAGGGUAUGGCUGUUCGCCAUUUAAAGUGGUACGCGAGCUGGGUUUAGAACGUCGUGAGACAGUUCGGUCCCUAUCUGCCGUGGGCGCUGGAGAACUGAGGGGGGCUGCUCCUAGUACGAGAGGACCGGAGUGGACGCAUCACUGGUGUUCGGGUUGUCAUGCCAAUGGCACUGCCCGGUAGCUAAAUGCGGAAGAGAUAAGUGCUGAAAGCAUCUAAGCACGAAACUUGCCCCGA